RNAcentral lists this ribosomal RNA (253 nucleotides) under uncultured bacterium. RNAcentral's name for it is "partial 16S ribosomal RNA". It matches the Rfam family "Bacterial small subunit ribosomal RNA", at positions 524 to 776 of the family's 1533-position model. The record is from RNAcentral.
UACGUAGGGACCGAGCGUUGUCCGGAAUCAUUGGGCGUAAAGAGCGUGUAGACUGCCCAUUAAGUCCUGCGUGAAAUCUCGGGGCUCAACCCCGAGCGGUCGUGGGAAACUGGUUGGCUAGAGUGCGGGAGAGGAGAGUGGAAUUCCUGGUGUAGCGGUGAAAUGCGCAGAUAUCAGGAAGAACACCCGUGGCGAAGGCGGCUCUCUGGAACGCAACUGACGCUGAGACGCGAAAGCGUGGGGAGCAAACAGG